CUACGUGCCAGCAGCCGCGGUAAUACGGAAGGUUCGGGCGUUAUCCGGAUUUAUUGGGUUUAAAGGGAGCGUAGGCCGGAGAUUAAGUGUGUUGUGAAAUGUAGACGCUCAACGUCUGACUUGCAGCGCAUACUGGUUUCCUUGAGUACGCACAACGUUGGCGGAAUUCGUCGUGUAGCGGUGAAAUGCUUAGAUAUGACGAAGAACUCCGAUUGCGAAGGCAGCUGACGGGAGCGCAACUGACGCUGAAGCUCGAAGGUGCGGGUAUCGAACGGGAUUAGAUACCCUGGUAGUCCGCGCAGUAAACGAUGGAUGCCCGCUGUUGGUACCUAGUAUCAGCGGCUAAGCGAAAGCAUUAAGCAUCCCACCUGGGGAGUACGCCGGCAACGGUGAAACUCAAAGGAAUUGACGGGGGCCCGCACAAGCGGAGGAACAUGUGGUUUAAUUCGAUGAUACGCGAGGAACCUUACCCGGGCU
This 477-nucleotide ribosomal RNA is filed under the name uncultured bacterium. Its description in RNAcentral is "bacterial SSU rRNA". It matches the Rfam family "Bacterial small subunit ribosomal RNA", at positions 501 to 981 of the family's 1533-position model. The record is from RNAcentral.